RNAcentral lists this non-coding RNA (29 nucleotides) under Mus musculus (house mouse). Lineage: Eukaryota; Metazoa; Chordata; Mammalia; Rodentia; Muridae. The record is from RNAcentral.
UAGGUGCUGAACUGCAUCAAAAAAAAAAG